Mycena vulgaris is the source of this 99-nucleotide non-coding RNA. NCBI's taxonomy places the organism in Eukaryota, Fungi, Basidiomycota, Agaricomycetes, Agaricales, Mycenaceae. The record is from the annotation of a GenBank genome assembly.
UCCCUCUUAGCUCAGUUGGUAGAGCGCGUCACUAGUAUGCGUACGGGAAUGUAUGUCCAUGUAAUGACGAGGUCAGUCGUUCAAAUCGGCUAGCGGGAA